Molecule: long non-coding RNA, 502 nt
Filed under: Calidris pugnax (ruff)
Lineage: Eukaryota; Metazoa; Chordata; Aves; Charadriiformes; Scolopacidae
Description: lncRNA (ENSCPUG00000005288.1)
Source: RNAcentral
GGACAUGAUUGGCUAUGGUGGUGUGAAAUACAUGUUUUUAGUACUCCUCAAUUCAUAUUGUUCAAAUUUCUUAUAAGCAAUGUCUUUUUUUUUUCUGCUAGGAGAUGCAGGUGGAUCACUCUCUACCAGAUCUCGAGGCAAAUAUUGGUCUAUGGUCCUUGCUCUCAGCAACAUCUUCAGUGUCCUGGUGAUGGGGUGCCUUGGAAGGACUGCGCAGAACAAGCUUCAUACCACCUCUGCACUUCAGGCUCUCUGCACUAGGCCGAAAGCUGGGAGCAGGAAGCGGCUGCGCCCUGAUGGCUGUCGUUUCCCCUGCGAGCCCCUCCUGUGUCCUGCCAGCUGCUCUCUGACAGCCACAUCACCCGGGCUUCGGUACCAAGCGGGCACGCCGCUGACUCCCAGCUAGGAAUCCUUCCAGGGCUACCUUCUCUUCACAAGCAAUAAGGUCAGCCUGGGGAAAAAAAAAGUAAUAAUAAUAAAUAAUAACUUAAAAAAAUAACCA